RNAcentral lists this long non-coding RNA (881 nucleotides) under Salvator merianae (Argentine black and white tegu). RNAcentral describes it as "lncRNA (ENSSMRG00000018706.1)". Lineage: Eukaryota; Metazoa; Chordata; Lepidosauria; Squamata; Teiidae. The record is from RNAcentral.
CUCUUUCUAAUGAAUCCUUCAUAUAUCCUAAUGCACAGACCAAGACCAGCAGAAAAGAAAGAAACUUAUCAAAGCAGUUGAGAAAUGCAUGGAAGAAAUGCCAUGGAUAGUUUCUGCGCCCCUAUAUCAUUCCAGGAAGGUUUCUAGUAAGAAACAUAAUUGGCUACAGAACAGCCAAAAUGUUACUUCAAGUGGAAAUAUGACAUCCUUUAGAGAAAGAGAAGUAUACACACCUAAAUAUUUCAAGAAGACACUUUCAAGUGGACAAUCCCCAGUUCUAAGUGCAGAAGAGAUUAUCCAAGAUAUUGUUGCCCAGUCUUUAUUUCAGACACGAAAGGAUAGCAGUGGUGCACCCCAACNACGUCCUUUACCACUCACCAAAUCUUAUCUCUCAGUUCUGAGCAGCAGAAAAAAGGACAAAACUUACAGAGAAGAUUUGCUUGAUAAACAUGCAGAGUGGUUUACAGAAGCAAAACAGCCUUUUACUCCAAAAGUUUUAAAGACAGCACGCAAGUCCUUCCUUUCAACAUACAGGUAUUAUAAUAAUCCACACCAUAAGAAAAGCCUCUUACUGGAUCAACCAUCAGACAAACAGCCAAAAAGACUUCACAGGUCUUUGGAAGAUGAAUGUGGAGGAUCUUAUGCAGAUUACUGUUUGUCGCAUCCAGUCAAGAAACACCAGAGAACCAUUUCCCUACAAUCACUGAUUCAGGCAAAAGAUGAAGAGUUGAAAUACCUUUGGUUUCUUCAGGAGGUCACAAAUGACAUUUUAAGUAGAACCUGUUGCUGUAAGCAGGCAUUAGCUGAUAUCUUUCAGAUGCAUAUUAGAAGAAGAAAACAUGACCUUGAUGGGGUGAGCAAAAAUAAUUGCUGUAAAUGUG